This 439-nucleotide ribosomal RNA is filed under the name uncultured bacterium. Its description in RNAcentral is "partial 16S ribosomal RNA". It matches the Rfam family "Bacterial small subunit ribosomal RNA", at positions 339 to 795 of the family's 1533-position model. The record is from RNAcentral.
CUACGGGCGGCACCAGUGAGGAAUAUUGCACAAUGGGGGGAACCCUGAUGCAGCAACGCCGCGUGGAAGAUGACGCAUUUCGGUGUGUAAACUCCUUUUAUAUGUCAAGAAAAUGACGGUAGCAUAUGAAUAAGCACCGGCUAACUCCGUGCCAGCAGCCGCGGUAAUACGGAGGGUGCAAGCGUUACUCGGAAUCACGGGGCGUAAAGGACGCGUAGGCGGGUUGGAAAGUCAGGUGUGAAAUCCUACAGCUUAACUGUAGAACUGCACUUGAAACUUCUAAUCUAGAGUAUGGGAGGGGGAGAUGGAAUUAGUGGUGUAGGGGUAAAAUCCGUAGCUAUCACUAGGAAUACCUAAAGCGAAGGCGAUCUCCUGGAACAUUACUGACGCUAAGGCGUGAAAGCGUGGGGAGCAAACAGGAUUAGAUACCCUUGUAGUC